UCUUGACCCUACGCAUAAACCUACGAACC
This 29-nucleotide small RNA is filed under the name Bombyx mori (domestic silkworm). RNAcentral describes it as "piRNA piR-bmo-1982305". Lineage: Eukaryota; Metazoa; Arthropoda; Insecta; Lepidoptera; Bombycidae. The record is from RNAcentral.